AAGAAAUCUUAUCAAACCAAUACAUGGACGUUGCAAGAGAGAAGCUACGAGUGAAACCCAACGGAAUGAUACCUCAUAUGACAUAGCUGACACAUCUCUUUUCUCUCCUGGACUCAGGGAGCCUGGAGUCAGAGGGAAUGAGCCCUGGGAGCCUGGGACCUGGUCAGGUGAAUGCCCUCCAUCCAGACCUGACCCACAUCAGCAAUCACAAUCACCAGCCCUGAAGUCAGGAGGACCUGAGUUCAAAUGUGACCUCAGACACUUAACACUUCUUAUUUGUGGAACCCUGGAUAAGUCAC
RNAcentral lists this long non-coding RNA (299 nucleotides) under Sarcophilus harrisii (Tasmanian devil). RNAcentral describes it as "lncRNA (ENSSHAG00000024771.1)". The record is from RNAcentral. Lineage: Eukaryota; Metazoa; Chordata; Mammalia; Dasyuromorphia; Dasyuridae.